RNAcentral lists this small nucleolar RNA (107 nucleotides) under Nicotiana attenuata. RNAcentral's name for it is "Plant small nucleolar RNA R71". It matches the Rfam family "Plant small nucleolar RNA R71". From Rfam's summary of the family: R71 is a member of the C/D box family of snoRNAs containing the C (UGAUGA) and D (CUGA) box motifs. Multiple nearly identical copies of this snoRNA have been identified in Arabidopsis, and it is thought to function as a 2'-O-ribose methylation guide for 18S ribosomal RNA. The record is from Rfam by way of RNAcentral. Lineage: Eukaryota; Viridiplantae; Streptophyta; Magnoliopsida; Solanales; Solanaceae.
UAGUUGUGAUGAGGACAAUCUCUGAGCAGCCCCUUAAAACUCUCCCAAGCUAAAUAUAAAGACUCACCCGACUUCUGUUUAAAGGAGACUAUCUCACUUCUGAUCUU